RNAcentral lists this long non-coding RNA (224 nucleotides) under Homo sapiens (human). RNAcentral describes it as "non-protein coding lnc-TSNARE1-1:1". Lineage: Eukaryota; Metazoa; Chordata; Mammalia; Primates; Hominidae. The record is from RNAcentral.
CGGGCCACCCUGCUCGGCGCUGACCAGUCCUUACCAGGCCAUGAGCAAGGAGGGGCACCCCACAGGGAAGAGGGGGCCUCUUGCCCGGCGGCUGGGCUGACCUCCAACCUCUGACCCCUGACGGGCUGGAGCACCCCACAUGAACAAGGCACCUGUGCAGCAGAGACCUGAAAAAGAAGCAAAAGAAACCCUCGGGGAGAAGCAGUGCCCCUCCCGUGCGGCUC